GACGAACGCUGGCGGCGUGCUUAACACAUGCAAGUCGAACGGAAAGGCCCUGCUUUUGUGGGGUGCUCGAGUGGCGAACGGGUGAGUAACACGUGAGUAACCUGCCCUUGACUUUGGGAUAACUUCAGGAAACUGGGGCUAAUACCGGAUAGGAGCUCCCGCUGCAUGGUGGGGGUGGGAAAGUUUCGGCGGUUGGGGAUGGACUCGCGGCUUAUCAGCUGGUUGGUGGGGUAGUGGCUUACCAAGGCUUUGACGGGUAGCCGGCCUGGGAGGGUGACCGGCCACAUUGGGACUGAGAUACGGCCCAGACUGCUACGGGAGGCAGCCGUGGGGAAUAUUGCACGAUGGGCGGAGGCCUGAAGCAGCACCGCCGCGUGCGGGAUGACGGCCUUCGGGUUGGAAACCGCUUUCGCCUGUGACGAAGCGUGAGUGACGGUAAUGGGUAAAGAAGCACCGGCUAACUACGUG
This 468-nucleotide ribosomal RNA is filed under the name uncultured bacterium. RNAcentral's name for it is "partial 16S ribosomal RNA". It matches the Rfam family "Bacterial small subunit ribosomal RNA", at positions 28 to 507 of the family's 1533-position model. The record is from RNAcentral.